RNAcentral lists this ribosomal RNA (478 nucleotides) under uncultured bacterium. RNAcentral's name for it is "partial 16S ribosomal RNA". It matches the Rfam family "Bacterial small subunit ribosomal RNA", at positions 28 to 523 of the family's 1533-position model. The record is from RNAcentral.
GACGAACGCUGGCGGCGUGCUUAACACAUGCAAGUCGAACGGUAAGGCCCUUCGGGGUACACGAGUGGCGAACGGGUGAGUAACACGUGGGUGAUCUGCCCUGCACUUCGGGAUAAGCCUGGGAAACUGGGUCUAAUACCGGAUAGGACCACUGCCUGCAUGGGUGGUGGUGGAAAGCUUUUGCGGUGUGGGUUGGGCCCGCGGCCUAUCAGCUUGUUGGUGGGGUGAUGGCCUACCAUGGCGACGACGGGUGGCCGGCCUGGGAGGGUGACCGGCCAAACUGGGACGGGGAUACGGCCCAGACUCCUACGGGAGGCAGCAGUGGGGAAUAUUGCACAAUGGGCGCAAGCCUGAUGCAGCGACGCCGCGUGAGGGAUGACGGCCUUCGGGUUGUAAACCUCUUUCAGCACCGACGAAGCGCAAGUGACGGUAGGUGCAGAAGAAGGACCGGCCAACUACGUGCCAGCAGCCGCCGUAA